This 79-nucleotide transfer RNA is filed under the name compost metagenome. Its description in RNAcentral is "tRNA-Glu". It matches the Rfam family "tRNA". From Rfam's summary of the family: Transfer RNA (tRNA) molecules are approximately 80 nucleotides in length. Their secondary structure includes four short double-helical elements and three loops (D, anti-codon, and T loops). Further hydrogen bonds mediate the characteristic L-shaped molecular structure. tRNAs have two regions of fundamental functional importance: the anti-codon, which is responsible for specific mRNA codon recognition, and the 3' end, to which the tRNAs corresponding amino acid is attached (by aminoacyl-tRNA synthetases). tRNAs cope with the degeneracy of the genetic code in two manners: having more than one tRNA (with a specific anti-codon) for a particular amino acid; and 'wobble' base-pairing, i.e. permitting non-standard base-pairing at the 3rd anti-codon position. The record is from RNAcentral.
GCUCCUGUGGUCUAACUGGAAUAGGGCACCGGCCUCUCAAGCCCGGAGAUUGCGAGUUCGAGUCUCGUCAGGAGCCCCA